RNAcentral lists this ribosomal RNA (2259 nucleotides) under Candidatus Sungbacteria bacterium RIFCSPHIGHO2_01_FULL_47_32. RNAcentral describes it as "bacterial SSU rRNA". The stretch from base 726 to 2259 matches the Rfam family "Bacterial small subunit ribosomal RNA", at positions 1 to 944 of the family's 1533-position model. Lineage: Bacteria; Candidatus Sungiibacteriota. The record is from RNAcentral.
CACUUAGGGAGGAGCCUCGGUCCUAUCAGCUAGUUGGCGGGGUAAUGGCCCACCAAGGCUAUGACGGGUAGGGGACGUGAGAGCGUGACCCCCAACGACGGAACUGAGAUUAACGAUAGUCUCCUAAGAGAGUAAUCUCUUAGUAAAAUCUAGCUUAUAACGGUGAAAUCUCUGCGUGUGGAUAAUUUAUAUUCACAAGUUUUGGGGGUUGUACUACAAUACCCAAUAUGGAGACAACGCCGUGGGAAGUUAAUAGCAAAAAUGUUUCUGACCAGUAUAUCGCAGGAUUUUUGGAUGGCGAUGGGUCUAUUGUGGCGGCAAUUGAAAAACGUCCCGAUAGACGGCGCUUUCCUUAUCGCGUGCGAUUAAAGAUAAAUUUUACCCAACAUAUUCGACAUAAAAAUAUGAUGUUUCUUCUUCAGGAAGCAUUGGGUAAAGUCGGAUCUGUCAGAUUUAUUCGAACUCAUAAUCUUGCCGAAUUGGUCAUUCAAAAGCGGCAGGAUGUUAAACAUACUCUUGAACGCUUACUGCCGUACCUGAUUCUUAAACAGAGGCAGGCAAAAAUUAUGCUUGCUAUGAUUGAAAUAUUUGACCACGGAGUGGUCAAAGUUCGCAGUUCUCUUUCGGAUAAAGACUUUGAGAAAUUAUUCUCAAUGGCAAAAGAACUGCGAAAUCUUAAUGCAGGCGCAGGAGGCAAAAAGAACUAUGAGUUCAUUAACCCCGUAACGACUCAUUCCGAGUUUACUCGGAAUGGAUAGCCAGGAUUUAUCUUGGUUAUAACACGCUAGCCCCCUUGUACGAUCAAACGAGGGGUGAAGACAUAGUCUAUACCACAAGUGAUUGUGGACAAAUAUGACGGUCCGUACACCUACGGGUGGCUGCAGUCAAGAACAUUCGACAAUGGGCGAAAGCCUGAUCGAGCGACGCCGCGUGCAGGAUGAAGGCCUUCGGGUCGUAAACUGCUUUUAACUGGGAACAAGUCCGGCCCUUUCGGGAUGGAAUUUUUUGAGUGAAAAUUUUCUUUUUCGAGAGGGCCGGAUUGAGCGUACCAGUGGAAUAAGGAGCUGCAAACUUCGUGCCAGCAGCCGCGGUAAUACGAAGGCUCCAAGCGUUAUCCGGAUUUAUUGGGCGUAAAGGGUCUCCAGGCUGUUUUGUUAGUCCGGCGUUAAAUCUCACCGCUUAACGGGGAGAGUGCGUUGGAUACGGCAAAACUUGAGGCAAGAAGAGGCAUACGGAACUCAUGGUGUAGGGGUGAAAUCCGUUGAUAUCAUGGGGAACACCAAAUGCGAAGGCAGUAUGCUGGUCUUGUCCUGACGCUCAUGAGACGAAAGCGUGGGGAGCGAAUAGGAUUGACACUCGUCCCGGUAUUCAUUUGCUUAAAAAUAAAUGAAGACCGCGGACUCGCUAAGAGAAAAAGGAGAACGAAAGUGAAAUGUUUUAUCAAGAGUUCAAGCAAAGAAGCAAUUCACUCUGAUGUGGUUGAAUUUAUCUAUACACUUGGGAGUAUUCAAGGCAUUUCUGACAAUGGCGAUUUAGUUAUUGUAGAGGUGCUGCGAGAGGAUCUUUCUAAGUUAGAAGAAUAUUGUUCAGCGCAUGGAUUGGAACUUGAGAAAACAUUAGGUUUUUCUUUCUAGCGAACCGCAGGGUAUGCGGUGAGUCUGAUUCUCCGAAGCUCGAAAGAGCGAAGGAGGAAAACUAGUCCCCCCGAUGUGCGAUUCGCAUAACGGGGAUAAAAAACCUAUCCCGAUUUUGUAUGAAUCCGCCAUAGGCGGAGAGUCUACAAAAUCGAGGACCCGCCAAAGCCGUGAGGCGACGGCGGGGCUAUAUUCGGGAAAACCCUACUUUGUGAAAACGAAGGGGCAACCCGCAGGGAAGUCCGAUGCAACAGCGGACCCCUCAGAGACUAUACGCUGGGCCCGAAAUAAAACUCGGCGGCGAGUGAGUUACUCGCUCGCCCAAAUUUUUCUUUCGGUGAUGAUAUAGUCCGAACUCGGCCGUAAUGCCGAGAAACGAGCAGAAAUGUCUCGUUCCGCAAUUUAAAAUUGAAAAUUUAGAAUUUAAAAUUUCAAUUUUGUUGCGAGCAACAAAAUUGUAGAUACCCUAGUAGUCCACGCCCUAAACGAUGCAGACUCGUCAUUGGAAGUAUCGACCCUUUCAGUGGCCAAGCUUACGCGUUAAGUCUGCCGCCUGGGAAGUACGGCCGCAAGGCUAAAACUCAAAGGAAUAGACGGGAGUUCGCACAAGCGGUGGUUCAUGCGG